This 808-nucleotide long non-coding RNA is filed under the name Androctonus crassicauda. Lineage: Eukaryota; Metazoa; Arthropoda; Arachnida; Scorpiones; Buthidae. The record is from RNAcentral.
AUGAAGUUCAUUUACACUUCUCUAUUUUCAGUUUUAUAUUUAUACACGGUGAUCUGUUGUAUUUCAGUAGCAGUUGUUAUUAGCAUAUUACAAAUGAAAAAUGGAGUCAGUCAGCAUCUUCAUGCGAAUUCUUGAAAUUCUCUCCAACAUUCAUCUUCUUAUAUUCGUUUUCCAUGUUUAUUUAUUAUUUUAUUCCAACUAUUAAGAUCUUACGGAAUUCUGCACAAAGGUAGAUAAUGUUCACUGAUUGUUUUGAUGUUAUUUUACGUUUACGCGAUUUGUUUUUCAUUUAUUUACGUUUUUUUUCAGUUACACUGUUUGGAAGAAGCCAUUUUAUGUUGCCAAUAUUUUCUUUUUUAUUUUAUUUACCAUAAACAGCUGUCUAAUGUCGGCUGGUAUUGCCAUAACGUGUAAUUCUAUCGAAUCUCAGUUUUCACAUUUAAAUUGCAGAAAUGGAAUUUCUAACUUUGCCAACAGAGACAGUAAAAGAAUAAUUUAUGCUCUGCUUCGUUUACUGGAAAUAUGUUUUUGGAGUUCGUCAAUCGCUUAUGUUAUAAUUAUUGGUUUAUCUUCCUGUUUGAUAUUCCAAAGGAAAACAUUUUCGGUUACAAAUUCCACAAUAAUGCUAGACACGUUCUGAGAAUGUAAAAAUGAAUGUUAAAUAAUACGAAGUAGAAAUAUUUAUUUUAAAAAUUGUUUAUGUAACAAACUUGUUAUGAAUAAUAAGACAGUUUACAUAUUGGAAUUACAUACAGAAAUAUUUUAAAAUAUUGUAUUGAUGUUUUAUAUAUAUAUAUAUAUUGUGAAG